RNAcentral lists this ribosomal RNA (449 nucleotides) under uncultured bacterium. RNAcentral describes it as "partial 16S ribosomal RNA". It matches the Rfam family "Bacterial small subunit ribosomal RNA", at positions 29 to 523 of the family's 1533-position model. The record is from RNAcentral.
AACGAACGCUGGCGGCAUGCCUAACACAUGCAAGUCGAACGAGAUCUUCGGGUCUAGUGGCGCACGGGUGCGUAACGCGUGGGAAUCUGCCCUUUGGUUCGGAAUAACAGUUGGAAACGACUGCUAAUACCGGAUGAUGACGAAAGUCCAAAGAUUUAUCGCCAGAGGAUGAGCCCGCGUAGGAUUAGCUAGUUGGUGUGGUAAAGGCGCACCAAGGCGACGAUCCUUAGCUGGUCUGAGAGGAUGAUCAGCCACACUGGGACUGAGACACGGCCCAGACUCCUACGGGAGGCAGCAGUGGGGAAUAUUGGACAAUGGGCGAAGGCCUGAUCCAGCAAUGCCGCGUGAGUGAUGAAGGCCUUAGGGUUGUAAAGCUCUUUUACCCGGGAUGAUAAUGUCAGUACCGGGAGAAUAAGCUCCGGCUAACUCCGUGCCAGCCGCCGCGGUAA